GGCAUGGCGGCGCGGCGGCUAGCGCUGCUGCCUCGCGAGGAGGCUCCGGGUUCGAGACCCGGCCGGCCG
RNAcentral lists this transfer RNA (69 nucleotides) under Anguilla anguilla (European eel). Its description in RNAcentral is "tRNA-Ala". Lineage: Eukaryota; Metazoa; Chordata; Actinopteri; Anguilliformes; Anguillidae. The record is from RNAcentral.